This 157-nucleotide ribosomal RNA is filed under the name Boodlea sp. 1 FL-2009. RNAcentral's name for it is "5.8S ribosomal RNA". It matches the Rfam family "5.8S ribosomal RNA". From Rfam's summary of the family: 5.8S ribosomal RNA (5.8S rRNA) is a component of the large subunit of the eukaryotic ribosome. It is transcribed by RNA polymerase I as part of the 45S precursor that also contains 18S and 28S rRNA. Lineage: Eukaryota; Viridiplantae; Chlorophyta; Ulvophyceae; Cladophorales; Boodleaceae. RNAcentral also lists the same sequence under 11 other names. The record is from RNAcentral.
ACACUGUACAAUGGAUUUCUCGGCUCCCACAUCGAUGAAGAACGCAGCAAAGCGCGAUAGGUAGUGUGAAUUGCAGAAUACCGUGAAUCAUCGAAUUUUUGAACGCAUAUUGCGCCCGGGUUUGAGCCUGGGCAUGUCUGCCUCAGCGUCGAUUUCC